This is a non-coding RNA of Podarcis lilfordi (Lilford's wall lizard), 74 nucleotides long. The record is from the annotation of a GenBank genome assembly. Lineage: Eukaryota; Metazoa; Chordata; Lepidosauria; Squamata; Lacertidae.
GCCUAGAUAGCUCAGUUGGUUAGAGUGUGGUGCUGAUAACGCCAAGGUUGCAGGUUCGAUCCCCGUAUGGGGCA